RNAcentral lists this ribosomal RNA (253 nucleotides) under uncultured bacterium. RNAcentral's name for it is "partial 16S ribosomal RNA". It matches the Rfam family "Bacterial small subunit ribosomal RNA", at positions 524 to 776 of the family's 1533-position model. The record is from RNAcentral.
GACAGAGGUUGCAAACGUUGUUCGGAAUUACUGGGCAUAAAGCGCACGUAGGCGGUCCGCUAAGUCAGGUGUGAAAUCCCCCGGCUCAACCGGGGAAUUGCGUCUGAUACUGGCGGGCUCGAGAUCGGUAGGGGUGAGCGGAACUCCAGGUGGAGCGGUGAAAUGCGUAGAUAUCUGGAGGAACACCGGUGGCGAAAGCGGCUCACUGGAUCGACACUGACGCUGAGGUGCGAAAGCUAGGGUAGCAAACGGG